UCCCUGGUGGCCUAGUAGUUAAGGAUCUGCAUUGUCACUGCUGUGGCUCAGGUCACUGCUGUGGCACAGGUUUGAUCCUUGUCCUGGGAA
Molecule: transfer RNA, 90 nt
Filed under: Sus scrofa (pig)
Lineage: Eukaryota; Metazoa; Chordata; Mammalia; Artiodactyla; Suidae
Rfam family: tRNA
About the family: Transfer RNA (tRNA) molecules are approximately 80 nucleotides in length. Their secondary structure includes four short double-helical elements and three loops (D, anti-codon, and T loops).
Source: Rfam by way of RNAcentral